GACUAGCUGAGAGGAGGUGCGAUGGCCGUCGUCAGUUCGUACUGUGAAGCAUCCUGUUAAGUCAGGCAACGAGCGAGACCCACGCCACAGUUGCCAGCUCGUCCUCCGGGAUGGUGGGGACACUGUUGGGGACCGCCUCUGCUAAAGAGGAGGAAGGAAUGGGCAACGGUAGGUCAGCAUGCCCCGAAUUAUCUGGGCUACACGCGGGCUACAAUGGGUGGGACAAUGGGUAUCGACACCGAAAGGUGAAGGCAAUCUCCUAAACCCAUCCGUAGUUCGGAUUGUGGGCUGCAACUCGCCCACAUGAAGCUGGAAUCUGCAGUAAUCGUGUCUCAAAAUGGCACGGUGAAUAUGUCCCUGCUCCUU
This 366-nucleotide ribosomal RNA is filed under the name uncultured Methanomicrobiales archaeon. Its description in RNAcentral is "bacterial SSU rRNA". It matches the Rfam family "Archaeal small subunit ribosomal RNA", at positions 974 to 1338 of the family's 1478-position model. The record is from RNAcentral. Lineage: Archaea; Methanobacteriati; Methanobacteriota; Methanomicrobia; Methanomicrobiales.